CCUACGGGAGUCAGCAGUGGGGAAUAUUGGUCCAUGGGCGCAAGCCUGACCCAGCAACGCCGCGUGAAGGAAGAAGGCCCUCGGGUUGUAAACUUCUUUUUUCAGGGACGAAACAAGUGACGGUACCUGACGAAUAAGCCACGGCUAAAUACGUGCCAGCAGCCGCGGUAAUACGUCGGUGGCAAUGGUUAUUCGGAUUUACUGGGUGUAAAGGUUGUGUAUGCGGGACUGCAAGUCAGAUGUGAAAUUCCAAGGCUCAACCCUGGAACUGCAUUUGAAACUGUAGUUCGUUAGUGAUGGAGAGGCAGGCGGAAUUCCGUGGGUAGCGGUGAAAUGCGUAGAUAGAAGGAGGAACACCAGUGGCGAAGGCGGCCUGCUGGACAUUAAAUGACGCGGAGGCGCGAAAGCGGGGGGAGCAAACAGGAUUAGAUACCCCUGUAGUC
RNAcentral lists this ribosomal RNA (443 nucleotides) under uncultured bacterium. RNAcentral describes it as "partial 16S ribosomal RNA". It matches the Rfam family "Bacterial small subunit ribosomal RNA", at positions 338 to 795 of the family's 1533-position model. The record is from RNAcentral.